UACGUAGGGUGCGAGCGUUGCCCGGAUUUAUUGGGCGUAAAGGGCGCGUAGGCGGCUCGGCACGUCCGUUGUGAAAUCGCCCGGCUCAACUGGGCGGGGUCAGCGGAUACGGUCGAGCUUGAGCAAGCUAGGGGGUAAUGGAAUUCCCGGUGUAGUGGUGGAAUGCGUAGAUAUCGGGAGGAACACCAGUGGCGAAGGCGAAUCCCUGGAAAAUACCUGACACUGAGGCACGAAAGCUAGGGGAGCAAACAGG
This 253-nucleotide ribosomal RNA is filed under the name uncultured bacterium. Its description in RNAcentral is "partial 16S ribosomal RNA". It matches the Rfam family "Bacterial small subunit ribosomal RNA", at positions 524 to 776 of the family's 1533-position model. The record is from RNAcentral.